CAGUAGCCGCGGGAAUACAGAGGGUGCGAGCGUUAAUCGGAUUUACUGGGCGUAAAGCGUGCGUAGGCGGCUUUUUAAGUCGGAUGUGAAAUCCCUGAGCUUAACUUAGGAAUUGCAUUCGAUACUGGGAAGCUAGAGUAUGGGAGAGGAUGGUAGAAUUCCAGGUGUAGCGGUGAAAUGCGUAGAGAUCUGGAGGAAUACCGAUGGCGAAGGCAGCCAUCUGGCCUAAUACUGACGCUGAGGUACGAAAGCAUGGGGAGCAAACAGGAUUAGAGACCCGUGUAGUCCCUGUCUCUUAUAC
RNAcentral lists this ribosomal RNA (301 nucleotides) under uncultured bacterium. RNAcentral describes it as "partial 16S ribosomal RNA". It matches the Rfam family "Bacterial small subunit ribosomal RNA", at positions 509 to 807 of the family's 1533-position model. The record is from RNAcentral.